AUUGAACGCUGGCGGCAUGCCUUACACAUGCAAGUCGAACGGCAGCACGGGUGCUUGCACCUGGUGGCGAGUGGCGAACGGGUGAGUAAUACAUCGGAACAUGUCCUGUAGUGGGGGAUAGCCCGGCGAAAGCCGGAUUAAUACCGCAUACGAUCUACGGAUGAAAGCGGGGGACCUUCGGGCCUCGCGCUAUAGGGUUGGCCGAUGGCUGAUUAGCUAGUUGGUGGGGUAAAGGCCUACCAAGGCGACGAUCAGUAGCUGGUCUGAGAGGACGACCAGCCACACUGGGACUGAGACACGGCCCAGACUCCUACGGGAGGCAGCAGUGGGGAAUGUUGGACAAUGGGCGAAAGCCUGAUCCAGCAAUGCCGCGUGUGUGAAGAAGGCCUUCGGGUUGUAAAGCACUUUUGUCCGGAAAGAAAUCCUUGGCCCUAAUACGGUCGGGGGAUGACGGUACCGGAAGAAUAAGCACCGGCUAACUACGUG
RNAcentral lists this ribosomal RNA (486 nucleotides) under uncultured bacterium. Its description in RNAcentral is "partial 16S ribosomal RNA". It matches the Rfam family "Bacterial small subunit ribosomal RNA", at positions 30 to 507 of the family's 1533-position model. The record is from RNAcentral.